This 459-nucleotide ribosomal RNA is filed under the name uncultured bacterium. RNAcentral's name for it is "partial 16S ribosomal RNA". It matches the Rfam family "Bacterial small subunit ribosomal RNA", at positions 29 to 523 of the family's 1533-position model. The record is from RNAcentral.
AACGAACGCUGGCGGCAGGCCUAACACAUGCAAGUCGAACGAUAAGCCACCUUCGGGUGGCGGACAGUGGCAGACGGGUGAGUAACGUGUGGGAACGUGCCUUUCGGUUCGGGAUAACCCAGGGAAACUUGGGCUAAUACCGGAUACGCCCUUCGGGGGAAAGAUUCAUUGCCGAAAGAUCGGCCCGCGUCGGAUUAGCUAGUUGGUGGGGUAAUGGCCUACCAAGGCGACGAUCCGUAGCUGGUCUGAGAGGAUGACCAGCCACACUGGGACUGAGACACGGCCCAGACUCCUACGGGAGGCAGCAGUGGGGAAUAUUGGACAAUGGGCGAAAGCCUGAUCCAGCCAUGCCGCGUGGGUGAAGAAGGCCUUAGGGUUGUAAACCCCUUUCAGCGGGGACGAUAAUGACGGUACCCGCAGAAGAAGUCCCGGCUAACUCCGUGCCAGCCGCCGCGGUAA